Molecule: non-coding RNA, 301 nt
Filed under: Nelumbo nucifera (sacred lotus)
Lineage: Eukaryota; Viridiplantae; Streptophyta; Magnoliopsida; Proteales; Nelumbonaceae
Description: Eukaryotic large subunit ribosomal RNA
Rfam family: Eukaryotic large subunit ribosomal RNA
Source: Rfam by way of RNAcentral
GGUAGUAGCAAAUAUUCAAAUGAGAACUUUGUAGGUAGAAGAGGGGAAAUGUUCCAUGUGAACGGCACUUGCACAUGGCUUAGUUGAUCCUAAGAGACGGGGGAAGCCCGUUAGACAGUGCGAUUAGCAUGGGCUUCGAAAGGGAAUCGGGUUAAAAUUCUCGAACUAGGACACGGUGGUUGACGGUAGGGGUGGGUUUGAGUCGAGCCAAGCCGAAUACUUGGCUAUUUGAGUUCGACUUGUAGGAAUAGUAUCAAGCUCGAGCUUGAUUCGAGCUAGAGACUCGAGCUCGAGCUUUGCU